Long non-coding RNA from Cryptomeria japonica (Japanese cedar), 936 nucleotides. RefSeq lists it as uncharacterized. The transcript has 2 exons. The record is from RefSeq and is a predicted model, not a curated record. Lineage: Eukaryota; Viridiplantae; Streptophyta; Pinopsida; Cupressales; Cupressaceae.
GCGCGUGUGAAUUGCAGGAAGUUUCUAGUGCCCUUGCCUUCACCUGGUUGUGUAUAAAUACCCUUCAACCCUUGCAACAUUUCAACUCACCACCAGCAAUGGCGAUGGCUCUUCAUCAUUCCCUUAUAUUCAUUGUCCUCUUGGCAUUAGUCUAAGUAUGUUCAUCCGAGGGUCCAUUCCCUCCUUCCCACCACAAUGAAAAGCCUCCCCCACAAGUUCACCCUCCGCCACUUCACAAACCAGAACCACACCAUCCUUCUCCCUUUGCUCCAAAGACUCCACCCCUUCACAAGCCCCCAUUUGAAGGGAAACCUCCCAUGAAAGGUGCUCCUCCACUUCCUAAGCCACAACCACACCCCGCUUCUCCAUUUAUUCCAAAGCCACCUCCACUUCCUAAGCCACAACCACACCCCGCUUCUCCAUUUAUUCCAAAGCCACCUCCACUUCACAAGCCUCAACCACCCCUCAUUCCCAAGCCUCCACCAGUGCAUGGUAAGGUGCCUCCUCAUACUAUCAAUGAGCACCCCACUUCUUUCUCCCAUGAAAAGCCUCAUCCUCCUCUUACUCCUCCAUUUCACAAGCCAGGCUCCCCCAGCUUCAAUCCUCAUGGCAAACCUCAUCCUCCCUUGAAGAAAUCUCCUCCUAAGCCAGUAGUAAAGCCCCCACCAAAGCAUGGACACUACAAUCCUCCUGCCAUGCAUUAGUCUCCUCCACAUCAUCCUACUCAUUAGAUAUUUUAUAGCCAUUUCGUGGAAAAUAUAUAGAUUGCAAGUAAAAGAGAGGAGGUUUAGAUACUACCUAUCUAUAGUAGUAUUACCUACUACAUGUUGGUUUUGCCGACGAUGGGAGACAUGAAUUCCUUACUCAGAAAUGUUGUUGGUUUUAUUUUCAUGUUAUAAAUAGUUUUAUAUUAUAAUAAUGAAUCUUUUAAGGUGA